GAUGGUGCCCACCCAGAGUGAGGGUGGGUCUGCCUCUCCCAGCCCGCUGACUCGAAUGUCAAUCUCCUCUGGCAACGCCCUCACAGACACGCCCACAAACAAUACUUUACCAGCUAUCUAGGCAUCCCUCAAUCCAAUCAAGUUGACACCUAAUAUUAACCAUCACACCAAUUAAAAAUAAAAUAAAGGUAAAAUGAAGAUACUUCAGGCAAGAAAAAACUUUGAAAAUGCAUUGCCAGUAGACCAACACUAAAAGAAGUAUUAAAGGAAAUGAUUCAAGAUAGAAACACGAAAAGGUAGAAAUAAAUGAGGAGUGCUGGGAAUGGUAAAUAUAUUGGUAUAUGGGUAAAUAUAAGUAAAUUCUGACAACUUAAACCAAAAGUAACAAUGUUCUCAGGAAAUUAAAAUAUAUGUAGAAUUAAAUACAUGAUAACGUAGCACAAAAAGCAGAAGGAGAGAAAUGGACUAAUGGUGUUGUACUAACAACACUUGCCAUGGUAACAUCCAAAACUAAACAGAAUGUAACAAGCCAACAAUGAGUAUUCUACUCUCUAGGGCAGGGGUUCCCAACCUCUGGGCCAUGGACAGGUAGCAGUCUGUGGCCUGUUAGGAACCAGGCCGCACAGCAGGAGUGUCCAUCAGAAGGCCCCUGCUGAGUAGUUGGCAGGGUGGCUGCACAUAAUGGAAAGCACAUAAGCUUGAAGCCAGACAGAUGGGAGUUCUAACCCCAGCCCUGCCACUUAUUCCCAGGUGACACUGAGUGGAAAUUAGGCCAAAAUAAAUACUACUUUCUGCUUAAAAAAAUGCAGUGAUGUCCAAAGAGAAGGGAGGAGGAAGGAUGAAAGGAAAGACAGAGGAGGAAGGAAGAGAAGAAAGAAGAGUGGCCGGCACAAGGGCUUGGAGAUCCCUGAAGCUGUUUUCCUUUCUCCUCACCCCCACAGGGAGGGAUCCACAUCGUUGUGGGGUUUUUGUUGUUGUUGUUUUUGUUUUUGUUUUUUUGCCUCCCUUCAUCAAAGCAUUCAUUGUAGUGUAUGGUAAUUGUCUCUGAAUGUAACAGCCUCUCUUCCCUGAGGCCUGGGUCUGCUUGUUUCAUACCAUCUUCUCCUUAACACACAGUGCUUGGUAAAC
This 1128-nucleotide long non-coding RNA is filed under the name Homo sapiens (human). RNAcentral's name for it is "HSALNT0317963". The record is from RNAcentral. Lineage: Eukaryota; Metazoa; Chordata; Mammalia; Primates; Hominidae.